GCCCAGACUCCUACGGGAGGCAGCAGUGGGGAAUAUUGGGCAAUGGGCGCAAGCCUGACCCAGCAACGCCGCGUGAAGGAAGAAGGCUUUCGGGUUGUAAACUUCUUUUAAGAGGGAAGAGAAGAAGACGGUACCUCUUGAAUAAGCCACGGCUAACUACGUGCCAGCAGCCGCGGUAAUACGUAGGUGGCAAGCGUUAUCCGGAUUUACUGGGUGUAAAGGGAGCGUAGACGGCCAGACAAGUCUGAAGUGAAAAUCCAGCGCUUAACGUUGGAAGUGCUUUGGAAACUGCCGGGCUAGAGUGCAGGAGGGGCAGGCGGAAUUCCUAGUGUAGCGGUGAAAUGCGUAGAUAUUAGGAGGAACACCGGCGGCGAAGGCGGCCUGCUGGACCGUAACUGACGUUGAGGCUCGAAAGCGUGGGGAGCAAACAGGAUUAGAUACCCGGGUA
This 448-nucleotide ribosomal RNA is filed under the name uncultured bacterium. Its description in RNAcentral is "bacterial SSU rRNA". It matches the Rfam family "Bacterial small subunit ribosomal RNA", at positions 329 to 792 of the family's 1533-position model. The record is from RNAcentral.